GUCCUAGCCCUAAACGAUGAUUGCUUGGUGUGUCGGGUACCCAAUCCCGCCGUGCCGAAGCUAACGCGAUAAGCAAUCCGCCUGGGGAGUACGGUCGCAAGACUGAAACUCAAAGGAAUUGACGGGGGCCCGCACAAGCGGUGGAGCAUGUGGUUCAAUUCGACGCAACGCGAAGAACCUUACCUGGGCUCGAAAUGUAGUGGACCGGGGUGGAAACAUCCCUUCCCGCAAGGGUCGCUAUAUAGGUGCUGCAUGGCUGUCGU
RNAcentral lists this ribosomal RNA (263 nucleotides) under uncultured bacterium. RNAcentral's name for it is "partial 16S ribosomal RNA". It matches the Rfam family "Bacterial small subunit ribosomal RNA", at positions 793 to 1055 of the family's 1533-position model. The record is from RNAcentral.